UGGGGAAUAUUGCACAAUGGGCGAAAGCCUGAUGCAGCAACGCCGCGUGAGCGAAGAAGGCCUUUGGGUCGUAAAGCUCUGUCCUAGGGGAAGAUAAUGACGGUACCCUGGGAGGAAGCCCCGGCUAACUACGUGCCAGCAGCCGCGGUAAUACGUAGGGGGCAAGCGUUAUCCGGAAUUAUUGGGCGUAAAGAGUGCGUAGGUGGCCCUUUAAGCGUGGGGUGAAAGGCAAUGGCUUAACCAUUGUAAGCCUUGCGAACUGGGGGACUUGAGUGCAGGAGAGGAAAGCGGAAUUCCUAGGGUAGCGGUGAAAUGCGUAGAUAUUAGGAGGAACACCAGUGGCGAAGGCGGCUUUCUGGACUGUAACUGACACUGAGGCACGAAAGCGUGGGGAGCAAACA
This 401-nucleotide ribosomal RNA is filed under the name uncultured prokaryote. RNAcentral describes it as "bacterial SSU rRNA". It matches the Rfam family "Bacterial small subunit ribosomal RNA", at positions 355 to 774 of the family's 1533-position model. The record is from RNAcentral.